GUCCAGCUGAAAUCAGUCAGAACAAAACCUACCUCAGGACUAAAUCAGAUGCUCCGUUGCUGCCGGACUCCAGCCAGGCCCCUCUGUCCUCCUGGUACAACUGCUGGGGAUGCAAGAAGCCCCUCUCAGGUGAGGAAGAAGAAAUGGAUUGGAAUUGCAGCAAGCCCCAAGGUUGAGGAGAAAAGCAUGGAUCCUCAGACUGCAUCAACGGUGUGUGACAACCUUGGGACUGAGAAAUGGAGAAUUUCCUCCAACACCUUCCCCUAG
Molecule: long non-coding RNA, 267 nt
Filed under: Dromaius novaehollandiae (emu)
Lineage: Eukaryota; Metazoa; Chordata; Aves; Casuariiformes; Dromaiidae
Description: lncRNA (ENSDNVG00000014764.1)
Source: RNAcentral